GUGGGGAAUAUUGCACAAUGGAGGAAACUCUGAUGCAGCGACGCCGCGUGAGCGAAGAAGUAUUUCGGUAUGUAAAGCUCUAUCAGCAGGGAAGAUAAUGACGGUACCUGACUAAGAAGCUCCGGCUAAAUACGUGCCAGCAGCCGCGGUAAUACGUAUGGAGCAAGCGUUAUCCGGAUUUACUGGGUGUAAAGGGAGCGCAGGCGGCAGGGCAAGUCUGAUGUGAAAGCCCGGGGCUCAACCCCGGCACUGCAUUGGAAACUGUCCGGCUAGAGUGUCGGAGGGGUAAGUGGAAUUCCUAGUGUAGCGGUGAAAUGCGUAGAUAUUAGGAGGAACACCAGUGGCGAAGGCGGCUUACUGGACGACAACUGACGCUGAGGCUCGAAAGCGUGGGGAGCAAACAGGAUUAGAUACCCGUGUAGUCC
RNAcentral lists this ribosomal RNA (425 nucleotides) under uncultured bacterium. RNAcentral's name for it is "partial 16S ribosomal RNA". It matches the Rfam family "Bacterial small subunit ribosomal RNA", at positions 354 to 796 of the family's 1533-position model. The record is from RNAcentral.